GGUGAGGCAGUACUGCGGCAGCAUUCCGGGAAGGCCGUCAAGCUUAACAAAGGAAGUCUUCAAAUGAUGGGAUGCGGAAAGAAGAAGAUUAAAGAGGAAAAUAAAAGAUGAAGAGGAGCAGAUAUAUACCUGUAGGAAGUUGGUGACACUGUUCAACAGUGUGGGCAGCGCCCGGCUGGCGACGACAGCAUCGACCUCGAUGGAGAGAUCCUGGUACCUGACCUCGAUGGCUGGGAGCUCGAUGCCAACCGCAUCCACCCGCUCCCUGAGCGUCCUGAGGAACUGCUCGCUGUCAUCCUGAAAGACGCGCUCCAGCAGGGCGCGGCCGGCUUCCCCGCUGGCGAGAUGCUGGAUGUCCACCAGGCCCGUGCCUUCCUCGUUGUGGGUGUGGAGCUCAUGGUCGUGGUCGUCGCGGAGGACAGCCCGGCGCAUGCGGUCGUAGGUGGGCAGCUUCUCGAGCGCCGCCCAGCGGAGGUUCUCCUCGUCGUCCUGGUCAUGCCGGGAUGCGGCGCGCUGGAAGGGGUCAUCCGUGUCUGGCUGCCGGAGCGAGCGUGCGAUGGAUGAGCUCCAGCUCGUGUUGCUGCGGCGGCUGCCGGACAGUGCCCCCGGCAAGCCCCCUAACCCGACGCUUGCCAUGUCUACCUUUCCUCUAGUGCUAGCGAGCUAGGUGUUCAAGAGAAGCAGCUGGGAUUGAUGUCAGCUGGGAUUGUUGUUGCAUGUGCAAACGUUAGAUAUGGUUGUGCAUGUUAAAACGAUGGAUCUCCUGGCUUUGCUUUA
Molecule: long non-coding RNA, 777 nt
Organism: Lolium rigidum
Lineage: Eukaryota; Viridiplantae; Streptophyta; Magnoliopsida; Poales; Poaceae
Exons: 2
Source: RefSeq, a predicted model, not a curated record